This is a long non-coding RNA of Ictidomys tridecemlineatus (thirteen-lined ground squirrel), 461 nucleotides long. RefSeq lists it as uncharacterized. NCBI's taxonomy places the organism in Eukaryota, Metazoa, Chordata, Mammalia, Rodentia, Sciuridae. The record is from RefSeq and is a predicted model, not a curated record.
CCGCUGCCCGGUCAUCUGCCAGAGCCCCGGGCCCCGCCUAGGCCCUCCACGCUCCGCCCCGCGGCGCGAGCCGCAGGCUUUCCUGAAUAAGAAAGGUUGCCACAUCUCGGGUUUGCCGCGGACUAACUGAACAUACUGGGCGACCUCCGGCUGCCGCCUCCUGACAGCCCAUAGACGUCCAACCCCGCUGUCCCUAAGGGGAAACUUCAAGAUUGAAGGCCAUGGACUUUAUUCCCAACGGUCUGCCUAAAUCUCAGACAAUAGACCGGUAGAGUUGAGGUGCUGGAGAACGGAGUAUCACCCUCUAAACCUACGACCCACCACCAUGCCCGAUUCCCAGUUCGGGCGCCAUCCCACCAGUCCCUUCCACUACCUUUUCCCACUCUGCCUCAGUUCUAGGAGCCCUCCCUCCACCAAUCUCACAAGGCUCAAUAAAUACCAAAAGAUCUGCAUUUACAGCA